UGAGACCCUCAGGUGACCACCAAGGAAGGACACUGAAUACUUCUGGUGGGAGACAGGAAAAUCCAGUCUUGAGUACUGUACCAAGUCAAUGUACAUCUGUAGAAAGGGCAAUUCUGGAAACACUAGAGAAAAUGGACAUGAAGAUCAAGCAUCUGACUUCACUGGUCCAGUCUCUAGUGGGGAACAGGCGUGUUGUACCCCAAAUGCAGAUGGCUGAAGAGGAAGAGGGUGGUGUC
This is a long non-coding RNA of Cyprinus carpio (common carp), 236 nucleotides long. RefSeq lists it as uncharacterized. The record is from RefSeq and is a predicted model, not a curated record. The transcript is spliced from 3 exons. Lineage: Eukaryota; Metazoa; Chordata; Actinopteri; Cypriniformes; Cyprinidae.